This is a long non-coding RNA of Lolium rigidum, 546 nucleotides long. RefSeq lists it as uncharacterized. NCBI's taxonomy places the organism in Eukaryota, Viridiplantae, Streptophyta, Magnoliopsida, Poales, Poaceae. The transcript has 3 exons. The record is from RefSeq and is a predicted model, not a curated record.
UCCAGAUCUCCAGCGCUCACUCGGUUAUUUUUGUGUUAAAUAUUUUCCAUCUCGUGUUGUGUUUCGCGCAGGCCAGAUGAGGAGGAGGACGUCAAGGCGCGGUGUCACUACCGCUGUGUGCAGAUCGACAAUAUAGUCUACAUGCUUGAUGACGAUGUGUAUGUCCAGGUUGCGAACAACGGCAGGGAUGCCAUUGCUAAAGCCUAUUCCAGCCAUUUGGUGAGCUCAUUGUUGACAACAAGGCUAUGUUGUACUUUGAAAACGGAGCCACAUUUUGCAAGUUUUGGUGACUCUUCAGAGUUCUUCAUUGAUCCUGGUGGCACACUGAUAGCCUGAAAUUUUAUCCUCUUGGCAAGAACAUGAGCAACCAUCCUUACCUGUCGAAUUCUUGCGGAGCAAUGCUGCCAAGGAUUAUGUUCGGUGGCCGCCCCCAUGUGUUAUGUUCUUUUCGCCCCUUAGAUGAUUAUUUUGCUCAUACUGAGUUAUGUGGUUUUUCCGUGUUGGGUUGGUUGGUAUGUCCUUGCUUAUUUUUGAUACAACACAUGC